GACGAACGCUGGCGGCGUGCCUAAUACAUGCAAGUCGAGCGGACGGAUGGGAGCUUGCUCCCAGACCGUCAGCGGCGGACGGGUGAGUAACACGUGGGCAACCUGCCUGUAAGACUGGGAUAACUCCGGGAAACCGGGGCUAAUACCGGAUAACUCUUUCCCUCACAUGAGGGAAAGCUGAAAGAUGGCAUCUCGCUAUCACUUACAGAUGGGCCCGCGGCGCAUUAGCUAGUUGGUGAGGUAACGGCUCACCAAGGCGACGAUGCGUAGCCGACCUGAGAGGGUGAUCGGCCACACUGGGACUGAGACACGGCCCAGACUCCUACGGGAGGCAGCAGUAGGGAAUCUUCCGCAAUGGACGAAAGUCUGACGGAGCAACGCCGCGUGGGUGAUGAAGGUUUUCGGAUCGUAAAACUCUGUUGUCAGGGAAGAACAAGUACCGGAGUAACUGCCGGUACCUUGACGGUACCUGACCAGAAAGCCACGGCUAACUACGUG
Molecule: ribosomal RNA, 498 nt
Filed under: uncultured bacterium
Lineage: Bacteria
Description: partial 16S ribosomal RNA
Rfam family: Bacterial small subunit ribosomal RNA
Source: RNAcentral